RNAcentral lists this ribosomal RNA (508 nucleotides) under uncultured glomeraceous AM fungus. RNAcentral's name for it is "SSU rRNA". It matches the Rfam family "Eukaryotic small subunit ribosomal RNA", at positions 569 to 1078 of the family's 1831-position model. Lineage: Eukaryota; Fungi; Glomeromycota; Glomeromycetes; Glomerales; Glomeraceae. The record is from RNAcentral.
AGCAGCCGCGGUAAUUCCAGCUCCAAUAGCGUAUAUUAAAGUUGUUGCAGUUAAAAAGCUCGUAGUUGAAUUUCGGGGUUAGUAGAUUGGUCAUGCCUCUGGUAUGUACUGGUCUCACUGAUUCCUCCUUCCUGAUGAUCCGUAAUGCCAUUAAUUUGGUGUUGCGGGGAAUUUGGACUGUUACUUUGAAAAAAUUAGAGUGUUUAAGGCAAGCUAACGCUUGAGUACAUUAGCAUGGAAUAAUGAAAUAGGACGUUCGAUCCUAUUUUGUUAGUUUCUAGGAUUGACGUAAUGAUUAAUAGGGAUAGUUGGGGGCAUUAGUAUUCAAUUGUCAGAGGUGAAAUUCUUGGAUUUAUUGAAGACUAACUACUGCGAAAGCAUUUGCCAAGGAUGUUUUCAUUAAUCAAGAACGAAAGUUAGGGGAUCGAAGACGAUCAGAUACCGUCGUAGUCUUAACCAUAAACUAUGCCGACUAGGGAUCGGAUGAUGUUAAUUUUUUAAUGACUCA